AGAGGGUGCAAACGUUGCUCGGAUUUACUGGGCGUAAAGCGCGUGUAGGCGGACUCGCAAGUCGGUUGUGAAAUCCCUGGGGCUUAACCUAGGAACUGCAUCCGAAACUGCUUGUCUUGAGUAAUGGAGAGGGUGGCGGAAUUCCCGGUGUAGAGGUGAAAUUCGUAGAUAUCGGGAGGAACAUCAGUGGCGAAGGCGGCCACCUGGACAUUUACUGACGCUGAGACGCGAAAGCGUGGGGAGCAAACAGGAUUAGAUACCCUGGUAGUCCACGCCGUAAACGAUGAGAACUAGGUGCAGCGGAUAUUGACCUCUGCUGUGCCGUAGCUAACGCGUUAAGUUCUCCGCCUGGGGAGUACGGCCGCAAGGCUA
RNAcentral lists this ribosomal RNA (372 nucleotides) under uncultured organism. RNAcentral's name for it is "partial 16S ribosomal RNA". It matches the Rfam family "Bacterial small subunit ribosomal RNA", at positions 527 to 896 of the family's 1533-position model. The record is from RNAcentral.